ACCUAACGACGCGCCUCAGGCAGAAAAAUAUAAUCUCUUCAUCUCCAUUUAAUUUUUGAUCUAAUCCUCAAGAACUCCCCGCUCUUCUUUCACGACCUUUCAUCUGUGCAACAUAGCAUGAUGUUGCAAUGUUAUUUCAAUCACCUUCACAAACUCCACUGUGAAUAAUAUUCAUCAUCGUCAUCAACAACCUCGACAAUGCCCGCAACAAUAACUCGGCGACAUCAAGAUACUGCAUCCGUAGCUUCUGCUAAGGUUUUCUUCGAAGAACGUUUCGAAGUAGAUCUGCGAAUGUGAUAAAGAAGGAUGUUCCAUGUGAGACUGGCCAACUUACACAUGUUUACACAUUCAUCAUCCGUCCUGAUGCAACCUACAGCAUCCUGAUAGAUAAUAUUCAGAAGCAAACCGGUAGCCUCUACACUGAUUGGAAUCUUCUUCCUGCAAAGAAAAUUAAGGAUCCUGAGGCUAAGAAGCCAAAAGAUUGGGAUGACAAAGAGUUUAUUCUUGAUCCCGAGGAUAAGAAACCAGAGGGAUACGAUGACAUCCCUAAAGAGGUUGCAGACCCUGAUGCCAAAAAGGUUUGUUGUUUCCUAUUGUUGUGUUUAUUUGUCUCUCAUUAUGUUAGCUCUUUGU
Vicia villosa (hairy vetch) is the source of this 633-nucleotide long non-coding RNA. RefSeq lists it as uncharacterized. The record is from RefSeq and is a predicted model, not a curated record. NCBI's taxonomy places the organism in Eukaryota, Viridiplantae, Streptophyta, Magnoliopsida, Fabales, Fabaceae. The transcript has 3 exons.